Molecule: ribosomal RNA, 519 nt
Filed under: Irpex laceratus
Lineage: Eukaryota; Fungi; Basidiomycota; Agaricomycetes; Polyporales; Irpicaceae
Description: eukaryotic LSU rRNA
Rfam family: Eukaryotic large subunit ribosomal RNA
Source: RNAcentral
UGGCGGCUUUGGCGAAGGCCGAUCCUAGAGAAGUGUUUUCCGCGUUGGACCGUGUAUAAGUCUCUUGGAACAGAGCGUCAUAGAGGGUGAGAAUCCCGUCUUUGACACGGACUACCAAUGCUUUGUGAUACACUCUCAAAGAGUCGAGUUGUUUGGGAAUGCAGCUCAAAAUGGGUGGUAAAUUCCAUCUAAAGCUAAAUAUUGGCGAGAGACCGAUAGCGAACAAGUACCGUGAGGGAAAGAUGAAAAGCACUUUGGAAAGAGAGUUAAACAGUACGUGAAAUUGCUGAAAGGGAAACGAUUGAAGUCAGUCGCGUUAGCUAGAACUCAACCAGGCUUGCUUGGCGUAUUUUCUAGUUAACGGGCCAGCAUCAGUUUUGACUGCAGGAAAAAGGCCAGGGAAAUGUGGCACCUUCGGGUGUGUUAUAGUCUUUGGUCAUAUACUGCGAUUGGGACUGAGGUUCGCAGCACGCGCAAGCUGUGCUUAGGAUGCUGGCGUAAUGGCUUUAAACGACCCGU